GAGCACGUGGCGAAAUCGGCAGACGCGCUGGCUUCAGGAGUCAGUGAGAGUAAUCUCGUGGAGGUUCAAAUCCUCUCGUGCUCA
This 84-nucleotide transfer RNA is filed under the name Candidatus Zambryskibacteria bacterium RIFCSPHIGHO2_02_FULL_39_16. Its description in RNAcentral is "tRNA-Leu". It matches the Rfam family "tRNA". Rfam says of the family: Transfer RNA (tRNA) molecules are approximately 80 nucleotides in length. Their secondary structure includes four short double-helical elements and three loops (D, anti-codon, and T loops). Further hydrogen bonds mediate the characteristic L-shaped molecular structure. tRNAs have two regions of fundamental functional importance: the anti-codon, which is responsible for specific mRNA codon recognition, and the 3' end, to which the tRNAs corresponding amino acid is attached (by aminoacyl-tRNA synthetases). tRNAs cope with the degeneracy of the genetic code in two manners: having more than one tRNA (with a specific anti-codon) for a particular amino acid; and 'wobble' base-pairing, i.e. permitting non-standard base-pairing at the 3rd anti-codon position. The record is from RNAcentral. RNAcentral also lists the same sequence under 1 other name. Lineage: Bacteria; Candidatus Zambryskiibacteriota.